GACGAACGCUGGCGGCGUGCUUAACACAUGCAAGUCGAGCGGUAAGGCCCUUUCGGGGGUACACGAGCGGCGAACGGGUGAGUAACACGUGGGUGACCUGCCCUCAGCUCUGGGAUAAGCCCGGGAAACUGGGUCUAAUACCGGAUAUGACUCCAUGACGCAUGUUGUGGGGUGGAAAGCCUUGUGCGGCUGAGGAUGGGCCCGCGGCCUAUCAGCUUGUUGGUGGGGUGAUGGCCACCAAGGCGACGACGGGUAGCCGGCCUGAGAGGGCGACCGGCCACACUGGGACUGAGAUACGGCCCAGACUCCUACGGGAGGCAGCAGUCGGGAAUUUUGGGCAAUGGGGGAAACCCUGACCCAGCAACGCCGCGUGAAGGAUGAAGUAUUUCGGUAUGUAAACUUCGAAAGAAUAGGAAGAAUUAAUGACGUACUAUUUAUAAGUCCGGCUAACUACGUGCCAGCCGCCGCUGUAAG
Molecule: ribosomal RNA, 474 nt
Filed under: uncultured bacterium
Lineage: Bacteria
Description: bacterial SSU rRNA
Rfam family: Bacterial small subunit ribosomal RNA
Source: RNAcentral